RNAcentral lists this ribosomal RNA (425 nucleotides) under uncultured bacterium. RNAcentral's name for it is "bacterial SSU rRNA". It matches the Rfam family "Bacterial small subunit ribosomal RNA", at positions 356 to 773 of the family's 1533-position model. The record is from RNAcentral.
GGGGAAUUUUGGACAAUGGGGGCAACCCUGAUCCAGCCAUGCCGCGUGAGUGAAGAAGGCCUUCGGGUUGUAAAGCUCUUUCGCGAGGGAAGAAAACGCACUCUCUAAUAUAGGGUGUGGAUGACGGUACCUUGAUAAGAAGCACCGGCUAACUACGUGCCAGCAGCCGCGGUAAUACGUAGGGUGCGAGCGUUAAUCGGAAUUACUGGGCGUAAAGCGUGCGCAGGCGGUUUUGUAAGACAGGCGUGAAAUCCCCGGGCUCAACCUGGGAAUGGCGUUUGUGACUGCAAGGCUAGAGUAUGGCAGAGGGGGGUAGAAUUCCACGUGUAGCAGUGAAAUGCGUAGAGAUGUGGAGGAAUACCGAUGGCGAAGGCAGCCCCCUGGGCCAAUACUGACGCUCAUGCACGAAAGCGUGGGGAGCAAAC